RNAcentral lists this ribosomal RNA (458 nucleotides) under uncultured bacterium. Its description in RNAcentral is "partial 16S ribosomal RNA". It matches the Rfam family "Bacterial small subunit ribosomal RNA", at positions 29 to 507 of the family's 1533-position model. The record is from RNAcentral.
AACGAACGCUGGCGGCAUGCCUAACACAUGCAAGUCGAACGAGACCUUCGGGUCUAGUGGCGCACGGGUGCGUAACGCGUGGGAACCUGCCCUUAGGGUCGGAAUAACUCCCCGAAAGGGGUGCUAAUACCGGAUAAUGUCUUCGGACCAAAGAUUUAUCGCCUUUGGAUGGGCCCGCGUUGGAUUAGCUAGUUGGUAGGGUAAAAGCCCACCAAGGCGACGAUCCAUAGCUGGUCUGAGAGGGUGAUCAGCCACACUGGGACUGAGACACGGCCCAGACUGCGACGGGAGGCAGCAGUAGGGAAACUUCCGCAAAGGGCGAAGGCCUGAAGGAGCAACGCCGCGUGAGUGCUGAAGGUCUUCGUAUCGUAAAACUCUGUUAUUAGGGAAGAACAUAUGUGUAAGUACCUGUGCACAUCUUGACGGUACCUAAUCAGAAAACCACGGCUGACUACGUG